GACGAACGCUGGCGGCGUGCUUAACACAUGCAAGUCGAACGGAAAGGCCCUGCUUUUGUGGGGUGCUCGAGUGGCGAACGGGUGAGUAAUACGUGAGUAACCUGCCCUUGACUUUGGGAUAACUUCAGGAAACUGGGGCUAAUACCGGAUAGGAGCUCCUGCUGCAUGGUGGGGGUUGGAAAGUUUCGGCGGUUGGGGAUGGACUUGCGGCUUAUCAGCUUGUUGGUGGGGUAGUGGCUUACCAAGGCUUUGACGGGUAGCCGGCCUGAGAGGGUGACCGGCCACAUCGGGACUGAGAUACGGCCCAGCCUCCUACGGGAGGCAGCGGUGGGGAAUAUUGCACAAUGGGCGGAAGCCUGAUGCAACAACGCCGCGUGCGGGAUGACGGCCUGCGGGUUGUAAACCGCUUUCGCCUGUGACGAAGCGUGAGUGACGGUAAUGGGUAAAGAAGCACCGGCUAACUACGUG
Molecule: ribosomal RNA, 468 nt
Filed under: uncultured bacterium
Lineage: Bacteria
Description: partial 16S ribosomal RNA
Rfam family: Bacterial small subunit ribosomal RNA
Source: RNAcentral